This 750-nucleotide ribosomal RNA is filed under the name Prorocentrum sp. AV-2018a. RNAcentral describes it as "partial large subunit ribosomal RNA". It matches the Rfam family "Eukaryotic large subunit ribosomal RNA", at positions 140 to 838 of the family's 3401-position model. The record is from RNAcentral. Lineage: Eukaryota; Dinophyceae; Prorocentrales; Prorocentraceae.
GAAUUGUAGUCUGGAGAUACGUUGCCCACGGUGACGCAGAUGUAAACCUCUUGAAAGAGAGAACCAACGAGGGUGAGAGUCCCGUUUGUCAUCUGCAGCCUUCCGUGCACGGCGCGUCUUCGAAGAGUCACGUUCCUUGGAAUUGGAGCGCAACGUGGGUGGUAACUUUCAUCUCAAGCUAAAUAUGGAUUCGAGACCGAUAGCAAACAAGUACCAUGAGGGAAAGGUGAAAAGGACUUUGAAAAGAGAGUUACAAGUGCCUGAAAUUGCUGAAAGGGAAGCGAAGGGAAUUAGUGCUGCUUGGCAAAAUCUUCUGUGCGCUGACGGGACUGCUUGUCACAUCAAUGCAAGUGCAGUGGCGAGUCUCAAACAGAUUGCGCAUAGUGCUUCUUGCCCUGCGUGUCAAUGCCAACUCGGCGAUGAGGAGCGCUCCAGGGACAUGGCAGUUUGCCUCUGGGUGAACGAAUGUGCCUGGAAACACUCGUUGCUGUAUGGAUGUACGUGCAUCUGGUUGUAGCCCCCUGCAUGAAAGGGGCCUUCCUGAUGUGAACAAGGACUGAGUGGUUCUAUUCGACCCGUCUUGAAACACGGACCAAGGAGUCUAACAUAUCUGCAAGCUAGCGGGUAAGCAAGCCUGCUUGCGCAAUGAAAGUGAUCUGCUGGGAUUGAGCGCCAGUGCCCGACCAAUCGAUGGAGAGAGGUUUGAGGUGAGCACAUCUGUUAGGACCCGAAAGAUGGUGAACUAUGCCU